This 1609-nucleotide ribosomal RNA is filed under the name Salmonella enterica. RNAcentral's name for it is "partial 23S ribosomal RNA". It matches the Rfam family "Bacterial large subunit ribosomal RNA", at positions 1213 to 2803 of the family's 2925-position model. RNAcentral also lists the same sequence under 1 other name. Lineage: Bacteria; Pseudomonadati; Pseudomonadota; Gammaproteobacteria; Enterobacterales; Enterobacteriaceae. The record is from RNAcentral.
GCUGAUGCGUUGUUGGGUAGGGGAGCGUUCUGUAAGCCUGCGAAGGUGGCCUGUGAGGGUUGCUGGAGGUAUCAGAAGUGCGAAUGCUGACAUAAGUAACGAUAAAGCGGGUGAAAAGCCCGCUCGCCGGAAGACCAAGGGUUCCUGUCCAACGUUAAUCGGGGCAGGGUGAGUCGACCCCUAAGGCGAGGCCGAAAGGCGUAGUCGAUGGGAAACGGGUUAAUAUUCCCGUACUUGGUGUUACUGCGAAGGGGGGACGGAGAAGGCUAUGUUGGCCGGGCGACGGUUGUCCCGGUUUAAGCGUGUAGGUGUGUGUUCCAGGUAAAUCCGGUUCACUUUAACACUGAGGCGUGACGACGAGGCACUACGGUGCUGAAGCAACAAAUGCCCUGCUUCCAGGAAAAGCCUCUAAGCAUCAGGUAACACGAAAUCGUACCCCAAACCGACACAGGUGGUCAGGUAGAGAAUACCAAGGCGCUUGAGAGAACUCGGGUGAAGGAACUAGGCAAAAUGGUGCCGUAACUUCGGGAGAAGGCACGCUGACACGUAGGUGAAGUGAUUUACUCAUGGAGCUGAAGUCAGUCGAAGAUACCAGCUGGCUGCAACUGUUUAUUAAAAACACAGCACUGUGCAAACACGAAAGUGGACGUAUACGGUGUGACGCCUGCCCGGUGCCGGAAGGUUAAUUGAUGGGGUCAGCGCAAGCGAAGCUCCUGAUCGAAGCCCCGGUAAACGGCGGCCGUAACUAUAACGGUCCUAAGGUAGCGAAAUUCCUUGUCGGGUAAGUUCCGACCUGCACGAAUGGCGUAAUGAUGGCCAGGCUGUCUCCACCCGAGACUCAGUGAAAUUGAACUCGCUGUGAAGAUGCAGUGUACCCGCGGCAAGACGGAAAGACCCCGUGAACCUUUACUAUAGCUUGACACUGAACAUUGAGCCUUGAUGUGUAGGAUAGGUGGGAGGCUUUGAAGCGUGGACGCCAGUCUGCGUGGAGCCGACCUUGAAAUACCACCCUUUAAUGUUUGAUGUUCUAACGUGGACCCGUGAUCCGGGUUGCGGACAGUGUCUGGUGGGUAGUUUGACUGGGGCGGUCUCCUCCUAAAGAGUAACGGAGGAGCACGAAGGUUGGCUAAUCCUGGUCGGACAUCAGGAGGUUAGUGCAAUGGCAUAAGCCAGCUUGACUGCGAGCGUGACGGCGCGAGCAGGUGCGAAAGCAGGUCAUAGUGAUCCGGUGGUUCUGAAUGGAAGGGCCAUCGCUCAACGGAUAAAAGGUACUCCGGGGAUAACAGGCUGAUACCGCCCAAGAGUUCAUAUCGACGGCGGUGUUUGGCACCUCGAUGUCGGCUCAUCACAUCCUGGGGCUGAAGUAGGUCCCAAGGGUAUGGCUGUUCGCCAUUUAAAGUGGUACGCGAGCUGGGUUUAGAACGUCGUGAGACAGUUCGGUCCCUAUCUGCCGUGGGCGCUGGAGAACUGAGGGGGGCUGCUCCUAGUACGAGAGGACCGGAGUGGACGCAUCACUGGUGUUCGGGUUGUCAUGCCAAUGGCACUGCCCGGUAGCUAAAUGCGGAAGAGAUAAGUGCUGAAAGCAUCUAAGCACGAAACUUGCCCCGAG